Molecule: ribosomal RNA, 483 nt
Filed under: uncultured bacterium
Lineage: Bacteria
Description: partial 16S ribosomal RNA
Rfam family: Bacterial small subunit ribosomal RNA
Source: RNAcentral
GACGAACGCUGGCGGCGUGCUUAACACAUGCAAGUCAAACGAUGAACCGGAGCUUGCUCCGGUGGAUUAGUGGCGAACGGGUGAGUAACACGUGAGUAACCUGCCCUUGACUCUGGGAUAACUGCGGGAAACUGUAGCUAAUACCGGAUACGACCCUCGGCGGCAUCGCCAGGGGGUGGAAAGAAUCUCGGUCAAGGAUGGACUCGCGGCCUAUCAGCUAGUUGGUGAGGUAACGGCUCACCAAGGCGACGACGGGUAGCCGGCCUGAGAGGGUGACCGGCCACACUGGGACUGAGACACGGCCCAGACUCCUACGGGAGGCAGCAGUGGGGAAUAUUGCACAAUGGGCGCAAGCCUGAUGCAGCAACGCCGCGUGAGGGAUGACGGCCUUCGGGUUGUAAACCUCUUUUAGUAGGGAAGAAGCGAAAGUGACGGUACCUGCAGAAAAAGCACCGGCUAACUACGUGCCAGCCGCCGCCGUAA